CGCACAUUGCACCCCUUGGUAUUCCGGGGGGUAUGCCUGUUCGAGCGUCAUUAUAACCCCUCCAGCCUCGCUGGGUCUUGGGCGUCGCCGUCGGCGGGCCUUAAAAUUAGUGGCGGUGCUCUGAGGCUCUACGCGUAGUACAUAUUCUCGCGAGAGGGUCCUGGGAGACGCUGGCCAGCAACCCUAAUUUCUCAAGGUUGACCUCGGAUCAGGUAGGGAUACCCGCUGAACUUAA
RNAcentral lists this unclassified non-coding RNA (235 nucleotides) under Crucellisporiopsis sp. RNAcentral describes it as "partial contains 5.8S ribosomal RNA, internal transcribed spacer 2, and large subunit ribosomal RNA". The record is from RNAcentral. Lineage: Eukaryota; Fungi; Ascomycota; Leotiomycetes; Helotiales; Lachnaceae.